Cyprinus carpio carpio is the source of this 3884-nucleotide long non-coding RNA. Lineage: Eukaryota; Metazoa; Chordata; Actinopteri; Cypriniformes; Cyprinidae. The record is from Ensembl.
GUUAUUUCAUUAUUAGGGAAAAAAAUCACGUGAUCUAGAGGGCGCCUCCCUGUCAAGCGCAUUAAUAAUUUUCGCACAAACACUUGUAUAUGAAUAAUAAUUUACAUUUUCCAUAUGCAUUACAAAGUGAAUAUUUUUUUUUACAUGCAAUUAUCCAAAAUAAAACCAAACAAGAUUUGUAAUGAAGAUAAAAUGUAGACAAAUAAGAAUAAUUUAAAUGCGUCAAAUCUAAAAUAUGGUGUAGAGUAAAUAUAAGCACAGGCUCAUAGGCUUGACAUUUAUCCUGCUUGAAUUCGUUCUAAGAAACGCACACAUCUUCAUAAGGACUAAACUUUCAUCUGUGAAUAUUAAAUAUUUUAAUUAGCCUAAAGUGUUUUCCUUUCAUUUUCCCCGACUGCAGUCAAAUAUAACAAAACGGUGAGGCAAAGCUGACGUCUAUUCGCGAAAAUGUGCUUUGAUGCGCUUGUUUGAAAACUUGUGAUUAAAGCGCCAUUCAGCGGACAUGUAAACUUGCAAAACAUCACUAUAUUUACUUGUAAAACCAUGUCCUACAUAGGAGUUUGUUUGACCUGUUAGCCAUCUUCCAUGUUUUAGACCUCUGGCAGAGGUGUCUUUGGGGGACAUUGGUCAGCAGCACAAGAAACGUCACAGAAGUCCUCCAGCAAAAUAGAUGAGGAGGGCCUAGAACUUGCAGUUUGCCAGCAUGGUGUUCUUCUUUGUGCCCUUAAUAUGUUCAGGGGGAGGUUUUUGCUUACCCCUGUACCUCCAGAAAAAAAAUGGCUUGUAAGCCGGUGAAAUUUUUUGCUAUGGAUGUUGCGUGCAAGUACUGGCCUUACCUCCAGAGAGGGAACGAGAGAUGCCCUGAGCUUCAGGAUCUGCUCUCAAUGAAGCCAUUUCUAUCAGUGUUUCAUGCCAAAGCCCACGACUUCAAAUGUGAGGUAAAAUGGAGUGGGGCAUACCAGGAGGGGGCUGGUUUGACUCUUGGGGAGGAGGUGGAGCAAUGCAAUGCCUUCCUCUCGAGGAUUGCUGUUACGACAAAGCACAUGUCAAAAGCAGGACGCACAGACAUGCUCACAGUCAUGGCCAUGUGCUGGAAUCAGCAAAAGUUUAACAACUUGGCUUCAACACUUGCCUGCCGAUAUCAAAAGGCCACAAUAGCUCUGCAAAGACAGUUGCAUAAUUUGGAGGCCAUGAAAACUGAAAUGGCAGUUACAGAUGAUCAACUGGAGGGCUGGAUCACUGAUGUCAAUGAGUGGGCAGAAGGUAUAAAAUGCAGUUUGGUAUACUGCUUAAUGCAUUAUUUUUCUGUUCGUUGAAUUAUUGGUGAAACACAGUGUCAACUAAUGUGUCACCUGAUGGGAAGCAAAGAUAAAGUUAUUUCUGUCUAGUUUUGUGUUGUCAUAGACGCAUAGCUUAUUUUAGCAUCUUUAAAACUUUAAUUUCUUGUCAAGCUUUUAAUUGUUUGUUGCAAAUGCACAUAGCCUUGAACCUGUAGGAUACAUAGCCUUAUCCAGUAGGGUUACCACUCAGUUACAGAAAAGGUUGUUUGGGCCCACUGGCCAGAAAUUAUACUAUUUCAUGGAAUUAAGAAGCAUAUUUCCUACUUCUAUUCUGCUCAGCAACAACAUCCCCAAAUGAUGCUGAUGUUGCUGUUGUGGCCAGACGAAUUGAGGAGCUGGUCACCAAGGAGGUCCCAACGUCUUUAUAAAGACAUUGAUGGCUGCAAAGGUCGUGUCCGGAUACGCCAAAAGAUCAGGGAGGAAAAGAAAUGUUUAAUUCUGUGGUGGAUCAAUAUAACACCAUGGUCCCUAAUGCAGAAAACCUGGACUUGGACACCAUACUUUCAGACGACACCCUUUGGCCAUGGCAGCUUCCACAUGGUGAUAUGUACACAAGUCCAUUGACGUGAAAUACGUCUCGAAGUAGCACAAUGUUUUUGUUUUUUUUUAGCAAUGUUUACCCAGAUAAUCAAAGAAAACCUUUAAAUACUAAUCUUAAAAUCAACUGAUUUAUGUAUUCCAGACUCCGUAGGUCUAAGGACAAAGAGAAAGGCAUUUGACACAGUGAUGGCAGUAAGGAGACUUGAGGAGGAGAAGAGGAUUCUCAUUGCUGAGAUGGAAAAACACUGGAAAUCUCUUUGCACCGUGCAGACACUCCAAAGGAGAUGACAUCCCAGCUUUGCAGUGGGACAUCAAGUAUGUAUUUUAAGUUAUACUUGACAUGCAUUAUAUUUACCAGUAUGUUUCUGAAAGUCUGUAAUAUUUUUUCCCCGUAUAUAAGGUGAGAUGUGGGGCCUGAGUAAUGAGGGAAUCCAAGGUCUGCAGAGCUUAAUGAUGAAGAACACACAAGCCAUCAACAAAAUACUGAAGUGCAACAUCCAAUUUCCGUACAUGUGUUUACAUCAUUGUUUAGAUAACUCUCAAAAGAUCUUUUUUUCAGUCCAGUAUCAAUGAUUUCUAGAAAAAUACAUUUUGACAUGAGUUUCUUCAUGGUCGAACUCACAUGGCCUUUAGCACAGAUAAGUCUUCUCAAUAAAAUUCUUCUAAGCCCAGUAUACAGUACCUCUAACCUGCAUCUUUGAUUGGUAUGUCUUGCUGUGUUGAUAGAUAUUUGUUGCCAUUGGUCCAGGAGCUGUAUAACCACAUCAUGGAGGUUGGAGGUCUCAUAAACCCAGCAGUUAAAGGGGAUGUGUGUCGCGCAGAAAAAACUAAUGACAAUCUGGAAGCUGUGCUAAAUUGAACAUUUACCCUUAUUGUUAUAACCAUCAAUUCAAUGAUUCAAUUAUAAAAUGAUUUCGUUUUUAAGCUUAACUAUACUUGACUUAUUUUUCUUAUUUUCUGUCACAGAUUGUCCUUAUUUGUGUUAAUUGUAAUCUGUUUUUUUUCCUCUAUGUUUAUGAACUGGGACUGAAUACUCUGUAACCCAACUAAGUGAUUACCAAUAGUUAUGACAAUCAUGUAAAGUGUAACUGGAUUCUUAUUGCUUACUAUUUUCAGGCAUUUUAUAUAUUUCAUGGUGUUAAUGUGGUCAUUUUUUCCAGAUUUUGUCUCAUUUCUACAUUUUCAUUCAUUGUUUUAUGGAAUGAUAAUAAAACAUCUUUGAUCCUUAAAUAACCUUUGUAAUCUUUCUGUGUUGUCGACACACUAGAGGUCUUUGUUUUAUCUACCAUGUCAAUAUAUGUGUCACAUGCUGAUAUUUGUUUAUAAUAAUGACAGUAACUCUACCAUGGCCUUUGUGACAGUUAGGCCUACAGUUAACAUUAUUAACUUACAUACAUCAUAAAUGGUAAAAUUUGGCAUGUAAAAUCUAUGUAUCACCCAACAUAUGUGAGCAAAGUGAAAUUAAAGCUUAUACGUUCACAGACUCUGUAGCAUCCUCUGGAAAUGACAAUGUGCCAGGAAUGAUCAACGUGGUUCUUGUACUGCAUUAAAACCAAGAGCAUGCACAUUACUGAUGUCCAGCACAUGAGGAGAAGGAUAAGGGAGUGAGGUGGACAUUUUUACAUUUUACAUUUGCUAAUUAGAUUUAUUUUGAAUAUAUUGUGAUUCUUAGUACUGCAUGAAUUUGUAAUAGUAAUAGUGAAGUGUGUACAGUAGGUAGACAACCAAAAUGGAUAAUGCCGCGGCGUUAACUGCAAGUCAGUCGCGUGUGAAAUUAAUUCACGAAACUACCGCCAGAUGUCGCAAAGGGACGGAUUGCGAACUGAAUGUAAUUGUAAAAUGAGAUAAAAGGAGGAAGUAAAACAACAAUAACAUUAUGAUAUAACAUUGUAACAUCUUUAAAAAACAUUAAAAAAUGUACAGUGAGUUAAUUUCAAAAUGUAGGAUAGUUUUAGGCUACAGUCUACUCAUCAAAAAUUAAAAGAAGACCUUUACACAAAGGAU